RNAcentral lists this ribosomal RNA (253 nucleotides) under uncultured bacterium. RNAcentral describes it as "partial 16S ribosomal RNA". It matches the Rfam family "Bacterial small subunit ribosomal RNA", at positions 524 to 776 of the family's 1533-position model. The record is from RNAcentral.
UACGGAGGGGGUUAGCGUUGUUCGGAAUGACUGGGCGUAAAGCGCGCGUAGGCGGAUCACCAAGUCGGGGGUGAAAUCCCGGGGCUCAACCCCGGAAUGGCCUUCGAGACUGGUGGUCUUGAGUUCGAGAGAGGUGAGUGGAAUUCCGAGUGUAGAGGUGAAAUUCGUAGAUAUUCGGAGGAACACCAGUGGCGAAGGCGGCUCACUGGCUCGACACUGACGCUGAGGUGCGAAAGCGUGGGGAGCAAACAGG